Molecule: ribosomal RNA, 451 nt
Filed under: uncultured bacterium
Lineage: Bacteria
Description: bacterial SSU rRNA
Rfam family: Bacterial small subunit ribosomal RNA
Source: RNAcentral
UCAAGAAACUUCCACAAUGGGCGAAAGCCUGAUGGAGCGACGUCGCGUGAUGGACGAAGUGCUUCGGCACGUAAACAUCUUUUAUGUGGGAUGAAAUUAUUGACAGUACCACAUGAAUAAGGGGCUCCUAACUCUGUGCCAGCAGCCGCGGUAAGACAGAGGGUGCAAGCGUUGUUCGGAAUCACUGGGCGUAAAGGGCGUGUAGGCGGGUCGUUAAGUUGGGGGUGAAAUCCCGAGGCUCAACCUCGGAACUGCCUUCAAAACUGGCGACCUGGACCUAAGUAGAGGCAAGUGGAAUUGCGAGUGUAGAGGUGAAAUUCGUAGAUAUUCGCAGGAACACCAGUGGCGAAGGCGAACUUGCUGGACUUAUGGUGACGCUGAGACGCGAAAGCGUGGGGAUCAAACAGGAUUAGAUACCCAGGUAGUCCCUGAGCGGGCUGGCAAGGCGCAU